Molecule: long non-coding RNA, 402 nt
Organism: Saccoglossus kowalevskii
Lineage: Eukaryota; Metazoa; Hemichordata; Enteropneusta; Harrimaniidae
Source: RefSeq, a predicted model, not a curated record
CACAACAUUGCAUUCCUAGAGCCUGUUCAAUUUACAGCUGUUUCAGUAAAACAAACCUACACCAAUCAUAAUGCGUGUUACUUUCACACUUGUUGUAAGCCUGUUGUUGAUUGGUCUGGUUGUAUCCAGUACUGUUGAUAAUAUUGCCACCAGAGAAGCGAAUGGAGAAAAUACUGCAAGCCAGGAAGAGCGUGGUCUGCUAGACUGCUUCAAGAUAACUGACCCUGCUGCUCAACAGGCGUGUAUAUGUGCAGAGACCGGCAAUGGUUGUGCGUUCUAGUCGUUACAAAGACCUCGAUGUAGAACAUUGACAACAUAAUUUUAUCGAUUAUCAGCCGAUAUACAUUGUAGUUUAUACUAAUGUAGAAUUAAAAGUGUAUCCAAGUUUCUUUCACAACAAAA